RNAcentral lists this ribosomal RNA (439 nucleotides) under uncultured bacterium. Its description in RNAcentral is "bacterial SSU rRNA". It matches the Rfam family "Bacterial small subunit ribosomal RNA", at positions 28 to 449 of the family's 1533-position model. The record is from RNAcentral.
GAUGAACGCUGGCGGCGUGCCUAACACAUGCAAGUCGAGCGAAGCACUUUGCUUAGAUUCUUCGGAUGAAGAGGAUUGUGACUGAGCGGCGGACGGGUGAGUAACGCGUGGGUAACCUGCCUCAUACAGGGGGAUAACAGUUAGAAAUGACUGCUAAUACCGCAUAAGACCACAGCACCGCAUGGUGCGGGGGUAAAAACUCCGGUGGUAUGAGAUGGACCCGCGUCUGAUUAGCUAGUUGGUAAGGUAACGGCUUACCAAGGCGACGAUCAGUAGCCGACCUGAGAGGGUGACCGGCCACAUUGGGACUGAGACACGGCCCAAACUCCUACGGGAGGCAGCAGUGGGGAAUAUUGCACAAUGGGGGAAACCCUGAUACAGCGACGCCGCGUGAGCGAAGAAGUAUUUCGGUAUGUAAAGCUCUAUCAGCAGGGAAGAA